UAGAUACGUUCCUAAAUUCUUCGGGAAA
Molecule: small RNA, 28 nt
Filed under: Bombyx mori (domestic silkworm)
Lineage: Eukaryota; Metazoa; Arthropoda; Insecta; Lepidoptera; Bombycidae
Description: piRNA piR-bmo-1487058
Source: RNAcentral